GUGGGAAGGAGGGGCGAGACAGGUGGGAAGGAGGGGCGAGACAGGAGAGGAGAGACAGGUGGGAAGGAGAGGUGAGACAGGAGAGGAGAGACAGGUGGGAAGGAGAGAUGAGACAGGUGGGAAGGAGAGGUGAGACAGGAGAGGAGAGACAGGUGGGAAGGAGAGGUGAGACAGGAGAGGAGAGACAGGUGGGAAGGAGAGGAGAGACAGGUGGGAAGGAGAGGUGAGACAGGAGAGGAGAGACAGGUGGGAAGGAGAGAUGAGACUGGUGAGGAGAGACAGGUGGGAAGGAGAGGUGAGACAGGAGAGGAGAGACAGGUGGGAAGGAGAGAUGAGACAGGAGAGGAGAGACAGGUGGGAAGGAGAGGUGAGACAGGAGAGGAGAGACAGGUGGGAAGAAGAGGAGAGACAGGUGGGAAGGAAAGGUGAGACGGGCAGGAAGGAGGGAUGAGACAGGAGAGGAGAGACAGGUGGGAAGGAGCGGCGCCACAGACGGGUCACGGAGCUCUCCCAAGUUAGAAACAAACAAACAAACAAAAUGUUGUUUUUGAGGAGUUUGUGUUUAUUUUUGCACUUUUAACUGUUUCUUUGUUUUAAAGUUGUGUUUAUGAUUUAUUUGGGAAAUAAAGAUGAAGUUUGUUCUUUGUUGACGUCAACAAAA
Pseudoliparis swirei is the source of this 661-nucleotide long non-coding RNA. RefSeq lists it as uncharacterized. The record is from RefSeq and is a predicted model, not a curated record. Lineage: Eukaryota; Metazoa; Chordata; Actinopteri; Perciformes; Liparidae. The transcript has 2 exons.